AGAGUUUGAUCMUGGCUCAGAUUGAACGCUGGCGGCAUGCCUUACACAUGCAAGUCGAACGGCAGCACGGGAGCAAUCCUGGUGGCGAGUGGCGAACGGGUGAGUAAAGUAUCGGAACGUGCCCAGUCGUGGGGGAUAACGUAGCGAAAGCUACGCUAAUACCGCAUACGAUCUAUGGAUGAAAGCGGGGGAUCGCAAGACCUCGCGCGAUUGGAGCGGCCGAUAUCAGAUUAGGUAGUUGGUGGGGUAAAGGCCCACCAAGCCGACGAUCUGUAGCUGGUCUGAGAGGACGACCAGCCACACUGGGACUGAGACACGGCCCAGACUCCUACGGGAGGCAGCAGUGGGGAAUUUUGGACAAUGGGCGCAAGCCUGAUCCAGCAAUGCCGCGUGCAGGAUGAAGGCCUUCGGGUUGUAAACUGCUUUUGUACGGAGCGAAAAGGCUCUCUCUAAUACAGGGGGCUCAUGACGGUACCGUAAGAAUAAGCACCGGCUAACUACGUGCCAGCMGCCGCGGUAAUA
RNAcentral lists this ribosomal RNA (522 nucleotides) under Comamonadaceae bacterium enrichment culture 13Fcon25. Its description in RNAcentral is "SSU rRNA". It matches the Rfam family "Bacterial small subunit ribosomal RNA", at positions 8 to 525 of the family's 1533-position model. Lineage: Bacteria; Pseudomonadati; Pseudomonadota; Betaproteobacteria; Burkholderiales; Comamonadaceae. The record is from RNAcentral.